This 71-nucleotide transfer RNA is filed under the name Marmota monax (woodchuck). RNAcentral describes it as "tRNA.Ala". It matches the Rfam family "tRNA". From Rfam's summary of the family: Transfer RNA (tRNA) molecules are approximately 80 nucleotides in length. Their secondary structure includes four short double-helical elements and three loops (D, anti-codon, and T loops). The record is from RNAcentral. Lineage: Eukaryota; Metazoa; Chordata; Mammalia; Rodentia; Sciuridae.
GGGGUUGUAGCUCAGUGGUAGAGUGCUUGCCUAGCACACAUGAGGUUCUGGGUUCAAUCCUCAGCACCACA